This 68-nucleotide transfer RNA is filed under the name Botryllus schlosseri. Its description in RNAcentral is "transfer RNA-Asn". Lineage: Eukaryota; Metazoa; Chordata; Ascidiacea; Stolidobranchia; Styelidae. The record is from RNAcentral.
AUUAAUUUAGUAUAAAUUAGUAUAGAUUACUGUUAAUAAUCGGGUAUCCUUUAUAAGGGUAAUUAAUG